Molecule: ribosomal RNA, 317 nt
Filed under: Chloroflexota bacterium
Lineage: Bacteria; Bacillati; Chloroflexota
Description: Chloroflexi bacterium partial 23S ribosomal RNA
Rfam family: Bacterial large subunit ribosomal RNA
Source: RNAcentral
AGACAGUUCGGUCCCUAUCCGCCGUGGGCGCAGGAGACUUGAGGAGGGUUGACCCUAGUACGAGAGGACCGGGUUGAACGGCCCGCUAGUGUACCGGUUGUCACGCCAGUGGCAGCGCCGGGUAGCCAUGGCCGGUUUGGAUAAGCGCUGAAAGCAUCUAAGUGCGAAGCCAACUCCAAGAUAAGGUCUCCCACCGGGUUAACCGGGUAAGGGCCCUGGUAGACAACCAGGUUGAUAGGCCGGAGGUGUAAGAGGAGCAAUCCUUUGAGCUGACCGGUACUAAUAGCCCGAGGGCUUGUUCACCUAUAACUCACUCU